AAAUUUUUAAGAGCCGCGGUAUUUCUGACUGUGCAAAGGUAGCAUAAUCGUUAGUUUUUUAAUUGAAAUCUUGUAUGAAUGGUUUGACAAAAAAAAAACUGUCUUUAUGAUUAUUAAUUGAAUUUAACUUUUAAGUGAAAAGGCUUAAAUAAAUUAAAAAGACGAUAAGACCCUAUAAAGCAUUUUAUUGGGGUGAUAAUGGUAAAAUGAUUAACUGUUAAUUAAAUUAAGACAAAAAUAAAUGAAAUGAUCCUGUUUAAAGAUUAAGAGUUUAAGUUACUUUAGGGAUAACAGCGUUAUUUUUUUUGAGAGUUCUUAUCGAGAAAAAAGUUUGCGACCUCGAUGUUGAAUUAAAAUAUCUGUAUAAUUGUAGCAGUUAUAUGAGAAGGUCUGUUCGACCUUUAAAUUUUU
Molecule: ribosomal RNA, 411 nt
Filed under: Parasesarma affine
Lineage: Eukaryota; Metazoa; Arthropoda; Malacostraca; Decapoda; Sesarmidae
Description: partial 16S large subunit ribosomal RNA
Rfam family: Bacterial large subunit ribosomal RNA
Source: RNAcentral